UGAAGAGCGGCGAACGGGUGAGUAACGCGUGGGAAAUCUGCCGAGUAGCGGGGGACAACGUUUGGAAACGAACGCUAAUACCGCAUAACAAUGAGAAUCGCAUGAUUCUUAUUUGAAAGAAGCAAUUGCUUCACUACUUGAUGAUCCCGCGUUGUAUUAGCUAGUUGGUAGUGUAAAGGACUACCAAGGCGAUGAUACAUAGCCGACCUGAGAGGGUGAUCGGCCACACUGGGACUGAGACACGGCCCAGACUCCUACGGGAGGCAGCAGUAGGGAAUCUUCGGCAAUGGGGGCAACCCUGACCGAGCAACGCCGCGUGAGUGAAGAAGGU
RNAcentral lists this ribosomal RNA (331 nucleotides) under Lactococcus garvieae. RNAcentral describes it as "bacterial SSU rRNA". It matches the Rfam family "Bacterial small subunit ribosomal RNA", at positions 89 to 415 of the family's 1533-position model. The record is from RNAcentral. Lineage: Bacteria; Bacillati; Bacillota; Bacilli; Lactobacillales; Streptococcaceae.